Molecule: long non-coding RNA, 426 nt
Organism: Canis lupus familiaris (dog)
Lineage: Eukaryota; Metazoa; Chordata; Mammalia; Carnivora; Canidae
Exons: 3
Source: RefSeq, a predicted model, not a curated record
GGUCUUAACACUGAGCCACAUCCCCCACACCCAGUGCCUCCCACCCCCUCCCUGGGCCCAACUGUAAUAAAACAUUCUGUUCACGGGCAGAGGCUGGUGGGUUAGGGUCUGGGGUCCCUGGGCUUCAGACUUCUCAUAUGUGAAGGGGAGAUACCCCAUUACCCACCAAGGCUGUGUGAAGAUGUGGUGAGACAAGACAGAGAGCAGGAGAGCAUGAGAAGCGUCCUACAUGGCAAGGGCCACUGAGGCAGGAAGUACUUGCUGAGAGAACAACGAGCAAUACGGACACAAUCCCUACUGAGAACAUCCCACAGGAGACUUCUCGGAGGACGCAGGAUUUAGACAGAACUGAAGGAUGCGAUGGGAAUAUCAAAGGAUUCAAUGGAACUAUGCAUAUGAAGCCCUCAGCACACUGCCUGUAAUAGA